This 1339-nucleotide ribosomal RNA is filed under the name Saccosoma farinaceum. Its description in RNAcentral is "partial large subunit ribosomal RNA". It matches the Rfam family "Eukaryotic large subunit ribosomal RNA", at positions 80 to 1410 of the family's 3401-position model. The record is from RNAcentral. Lineage: Eukaryota; Fungi; Basidiomycota; Atractiellomycetes; Atractiellales; Phleogenaceae.
CUAGUACGGCGAGUGAAGCGGGAACAGCUCAGAUUUGUAAUCUGGCCGUCUUUGGCGGUCCGAGUUGUAAUCUGUAGAAGCGUAUUCCGCGUCGGCCCCUGCCCAAGUCCGUUGGAAUUCGGCGCCAUGGAGGGUGAGAGCCCCGUUGGUGGCAGGGAGAACCGGUGCUUUGCGUUGCGCUUUCUAAGAGUCGUGUUGUUUGGGAAUGCAGCACUAAUGGGUGGUAAAUUCCAUCUAAAGCUAAAUAUCAGCGAGAGACCGAUAGCGAACAAGUACCGUGAGGGAAAGAUGAAAAGCACUUUGGAAAGAGAGUUAAACAGUACGUGAAAUUGUUGAAAGGGAAACGAUUGAAAUCAGUCAUGCCUCUGGGGAUUCAGCCUUCGGGUGUACUUUUCCUUUGGCAGGUCAGCGUCGGUUUCGAGGGCCGGAUAAUGGGUCGGGGAAUGUGGCUCGGCUUCGGUCGGGUGUUAUAGCCCCUUCCUGGAUACGGCUUUUGGGAUCGAGGACCGCGGCGCGCCCUCACGGGCAGGGGGUCCGCCCCUUUCCGCGCCAAGGAUGCUGGCGUAAUGGUUUUAAACGACCCGUCUUGAAACACGGACCAAGGAGUCUAACAUGCCUGCGAGUGUUUGGGUGUCAAACCCGGACGCGCAACGAAAGUGAAUGGAGGUGGGAUCCGAAAGGUGCACCAUCGACCGACCCUGAGCUACUGCGACGGGUUCGAGUAAGAGCAAGUAUGUUGGGACCCGAAAGAUGGUGAACUAUGCCUGAAUAGGGUGAAGCCAGAGGAAACUCUGGUGGAAGCUCGUAGCGGUUCUGACGUGCAAAUCGAUCGUCAAAUUUGGGUAUAGGGGCGAAAGACUAAUCGAACCAUCUAGUAGCUGGUUCCUGCCGAAGUUUCCCUCAGGAUAGCAGAGAUUCAUAUGAGUUUUAUGAGGUAAAGCGAAUGAUUAGAGGACUUGGGGAUGUAAAAUCCUCAACCUAUUCUCAAACUUUAAAUGUGUAAGAAGCGCUCGUCUCUUGAUUGGACCUGUGCAUGCGAAUCAGAAUCUCUAGUGGGCCAUUUUUGGUAAGCAGAACUGGCGAUGCGGGAUGAACCGAACGCGGAGAUAAGGUGCCUAAAUAUACGCUCAUCAGACACCACAAAAGGUGUUAGUUCAUCUAGACAGCCGGACGGUGGCCAUGGAAGUCGGAACCCGCUAAGGAGUGUGUAACAACUCACCGGCCGAAUGAACUAGCCCUGAAAAUGGAUGGCGCUCAAGCGUGUUACCUAUACUCCGCCGYCGACGUUGCUGUUUAGGCGUCGACGAGUAGGCAGGCGUGGGGGUCCGGUUGCGAAGCA